This is a small nucleolar RNA of Bombina bombina (fire-bellied toad), 73 nucleotides long. Lineage: Eukaryota; Metazoa; Chordata; Amphibia; Anura; Bombinatoridae. The record is from RefSeq and is a predicted model, not a curated record.
UAAUGAUGAAAUUUAAACUGACAUUGCUGGAAUUACCGUCAGAACUCUGUUGUUGAAAAGGGGUUUUCUGAAC